CUCCACCACACACAUAAUCAACAACACUCUGCACACACCCCUCCACCACACACAUAAUCAACAAGCACUGCACACACCCCUCCACCACACACAUAAUUAACAACAAUCUGCGCACACCCCUCCACCACACACAUAAUUAACAACAAUCUGCACACACCCAUCCACCACACACAUAAUCAUCAACAAUCUGCACACACCCCUCCACCACACACAUAAUCAACAACACUCUGCACACACCCCUCCACCACACACAUAAUCAACAACACUGCACACACCCCUCCACCACACACAUAAUUAACAACAAUCUGCACACACCCCUCCACCACACACAUAAUUAACAACAAUCUGCACACACCCAUCCACCACACACAUAAUCAUCAACAAUCUGCACACACCCCUCCACCACACACAUAAUCAACAACACUCUGCACACACCCCUCCACCACACACAUAAUCAACAACAAUCUGCACACACCCCUCCACCACACACAUAAUCAACAACACUGCGGCACACCCCUCAACCACACACAUAAUCAACAACAAUCUGCGCACACCCCUCCACCACACACAUAAUCAACAACACUCUGGGCACGCAACUCCACCACACACAUAAUCAACAACANUCUGGGNNNGCAACUCCACCACACACAUAAUUAACAANAUUGUGGGGGGCNACUCCCCACACACAUUAUUAAAAACANUCUUCACACACAACUCCCCCCGCACNUAAUCANAAAAUUUGGGGGGCCACUUCCCCNCCACNUAAUCANAAGNAUUGGGGG
Molecule: small RNA, 782 nt
Filed under: Spisula solidissima (Atlantic surf clam)
Lineage: Eukaryota; Metazoa; Mollusca; Bivalvia; Venerida; Mactridae
Description: cnRNA291
Source: RNAcentral